GUGGCUGUGGCGACGGUGUAUUUGCUGGGAUGGGAGAGCCUGAAUGCACCCGCAUUAACCACUCCUGGGGUUUAUUUGUAAUUUUCUUGUCUGGAAGUUUGUGAGAGGGAAGAAGAAAGAUGGAUUGACGUAGCUAGUAUCCUAGACCUUAAGCUGUUUACUAGGAUUGGGACUAGAGUGGCGGGAGGAGAGGGGCAGGAAAAAGAACAGAAGGCAAAGAACAAGUUGGGAAAGCCCACCGUAGGCUCGGGUAUUUUCUAAGCACCGGGACUUCGCUUCCCCGGGAGUUUCAGAAACUCCUUCCUUAACGGAACUGCUGUCGCUCAAAUCCUAAACUCUUCUCGGCCACUGGAGAGGCUUCGAACCCGAGGCCUGGGGGAGCAGGCUCAGGACCAUCCCCACGCCGGCAUUUAGAAAUGACUUCGCUGGCUACUGCAAGUGCCUGCGAUUUUUACUUUCCGUCCACACUGAGCGUCUUGUACUUAAAUUCACUGCGCCCUACAUGCAACAGUGCCUCGCUAAGGGGUCUCUGGGUUAAAAUCUCUUUGCGGUUUUCUGAGCGUGGAGGAAAAAAAAAUCAUCUCCAUGCGCUAGAGUGUGGCUAAUUCCUGGAACCGAGGAGCAGGACGUUCAGAAAGCCCAGCAGGGCUCACAGAUUCCCAUCUUCGAGCUCAAGAAGAAGGACUUUGGAUCCAGUGCAUAGUGAUUAGUUCUUUUAUGUAAUCUCUUGGGAAUAGAUGUGAGAUCUGUGGAGCCCUGGACUCUGCGCGUUUGGGGGUGUAACCGGGGUUCUGCCAGGAAACUUAUUUUCAUUCAUAUGGAAGAUCCUCUCAUAUGACCUCCCAAUGGGACUCCCAGAUAAACUAAUUUAGCAAAUCUCUUAUAACAAAAACAUAUAUUCUUCCACUUUCCCCACCAAAACGUCCCCUUUUAAAGAACAGAGCGAAAAUUCUCAGAGCUGUGCAUCUUGGUUUUAUGAAAAGCUUGUGUCCACUGAGAACUUGCCUGGGGAUCGCUUCUGUCUGUCUGUGUUCCGGGAGGAAAGCAGCUCUUGGUUCCUGUUUGGUAGAACUCAAACGGCCAGCUCUGGUUUCAGAGCCAUCCUGGGUCCCAGCUCUUGCCUGCCUGGCAGCCUGUGAGCAAGGCCUGUCUGUCACUCACAGUAUAGGUAAUUUACAAAUCCCACAAGCCUGGCUCAGCUAUGACUUUCAUAGGGAGUACUUCCCUGGGUCUCUCUCUACUGAGAAAGGGCAAGGGCUGUUUCUUUUGGGGGCUGCAUUCUGAGUCAGAAGUAUAGCUUUACUCUGUCCCCACACCAAACUUCAAUUCAUCAAUCCUGUGCAGUUCAAACCUGCGUCCUUUUCAGCUCCAUAUGUGUGAUGAGUGAAAAAGGAGGUGGGUAGCCCACUCAUCUCCUUUUCCAGCUCAAUGCUGUUUUGUUAAUUGUUGCACUAUAAUUUCUUUCUCUUAAUUUUCAUCCUCAUCUCUCUAGCCACAGUAACAACACUGCUCUCUCCAACUUAGUAUUCAUUUAAUGUGGAGUUUUAAAUUUAAGAGACUAACAUUUCCAAUUCCAGUCCUGUGUCUCGCUGCUUUCUUGUGCCUUCUCAAAGCAGAAGCACCUAUAUCUUGUCAUAAUCCUGAAGCCGGCAAGACCUGAUGUCAGGACCAGCUCCAACGUUCUCUUCAUCUUCGGUGUAUAAUUCCCAUUCUGUCCUGACCUCCACUGUUCCACUGGGGUGCCCCUGCCUGCUCCACCCCUCCCCGGACUCUGCCGCACUUGGUAGCAAACUCCAGCCGCUGAGAAGCCUUUCUCAGAACCUUGCUCAGGCUGUAAUAUAUGUGACUUUUGCUUAGAACUUGGCUUGGGACUUGCUGUGGUCUUUGCCCAGGGACUGAAAACCCGGAAUUUGCCAGUGAAUGUCUCUUCCAACCAAAACAAAAUGAUUGCAGGAGAACUGGGGUGAAGCCCACGUUUUCUGGGUUUGUUUUUAUUUUCCCUUUCUCUCCUGGACCCCACGGUACCUCCAGUUUGGGAGAAUACUGCUGAGCAAACUGGCCUCUUAUUUCAGCCCCCCUGGACAAUCUCUCUUCUACUGAUCUCAAAUAUUUGCCAUGGACCAGCUUUAUUCCACGUGUCCUCGUUGGGCAUUAGAGGCAGGCUGUUUGGGUUUGCAUCCUGGCUCUGUCAUUUAACAGUGUCCUAGGAACACGGUCGUAGGUUUGCACCCGUGCAGUGGGUAGCCUUGGUCAAAUUAAGAUCACUACCCUCUGUUUCCUGCCCCAUAAAAUGUAGCUAAUGGAGAGGAAGCGAGUGCUUAGGAGCAUCCAGCCAGGGAUCCUCUCUGCCUCCUCCUAGCAGUGUGACCACCAUAUGCCUCCAACAGUUUCUUCCUCUGCUCAGCGGGGAUGACAAUAGUUCUUAUUUCAUAGAGCUCUUGAGGGUUAAAAGAGUCGGUAUGUAGGAAGAAUUUAGAAUAGUGGCUGGCAUAUAAGUAGCACAAUGUAAAUGUUAGCUAUUAUGGUUAUUACCUCACAGGGUUGUUGUGAGGAUCAAAUGUUAUAAUAUGGUUAAAAUAUCAUUCUUUUUUAAUCCAUCCAUCUAUCCAUCCAUCCAUUUCUUCACUCACUGUAUAGUACCAUGCUAGGCAACUGUGAAAUACACACUGUUGUUUCUCUCCUUGUUUGCAGGUAGUUAAUCCAACGGAUUAUUUCCUGGGAGUGUGUGAUUGCCUGGAUCAGAGUUGGGGAUGAGGGGAACAGUAUGGGAGCAGGAUAAAAGCAAUACUCGAUCUCGGAGAAUUUCUAACAUUCUAACAGGAAGUCCCAACUAAUAAAGAUAGUUGAAACUAGGGCAGGUUGUGCGUGAGCCAAGUCUCAAUUGUGCCUGCGGGUCCUUUGGGCCAGGGACGAACCAUCUUCACGCGUCUGGGAGGUUCGUGAGCACUGGGGUACCUGGAAGUGGCCUUCUGCUUAGGUGCCAGCUGGUAUUUACGUGGUUGUUUUAUUUGGCUCACAUAGUUGUUUUUUUGAUUGUGUAGACUCCUCUGAGUUGUGCAGAAAACAAAACAAAAUAAUAAAACAGGUGCUUUUUUUGGGGGGCCCUUUGAAAGGUAUAAACCACUUAGGGUGUUUACUUAGGCCUUUUUGCUUUUCUGGCUUUUUUUGCUUUUCACUUUUUUGCAGAUUAUAAAAAUUAAUCAUGGUCAUUACAAUAGAGCAUUCUGUAACCAAACCUAAAGAUUGGGAUGGAAACCCUCCCAUCAGGGUCCUCCCCUCCCGGAGUGUGUCCUGCGGGUCUGGACGCAGACCCUCAUGGCUGCAGCGCCCUGCUCAUAAUGAGUGUUAUAACCAUGUUGUGACCAAAUGUAGUUGCGUGUUUACUGGCAGAAGGCAGAGUGCUCGUGUGAACCACCCUGCUCCCAGUCCUUUGAGAUUAAAACACUUCUUAUGGUUAGAAUCUGGUAAAAGAAUGAAAGUCUGAGCAAAAAUACCUGUAAGCAGUUGUAGUGUAAAAAGGGAGGGACGAUGGCACAGGUACACUGCUGUGAUGUCAGGCCGGCUUCCUCGGGGAGCAUCUGACAGCAAAUGGAGUUGAAGACAUCCACAGAUGCCAGCGGUGGAGGGCGAGGUUUCUGUUUCACCUCGUGUUGAGGGAGCAGACUCGAUUUAAUCUGUCACUUGAUGUCCUUCUCCUCAAAAAUAGUGCCCCGGGCCCUCAGGGACUUUAUUUAGAGGCUCUUAGGAGCUCGGCAGUAUGUAAAUUAUGCGUAAGUGUCCUUCAUAGUUCCCGGUGGUCACAAUCGGAGGGAUUUAAACAUGAUUUAGCAUUUCAGAUGAUUUGUAGGCGUGCUGGAGCCAGCCAGUGCAGUGGGGGUGGCCCACGCUGGGUUUCUCACCACUGCAUUAAAUAGGUUUCUAUGUCUUGGCUGCUUGGCUCUGUGUGUUCUCCUGGCCUUGGAGUUGUUCUAUGAGCGGCCCCCAGUGUUGGUGGGUGGCCUCCCAAGUGUCUUUACUAUAAAACGAAAGGUUUUAUAACUUUAAAAAGAACAAUUCGAUCUAUAGUGACCCUUUACUUCUCAUUCACCCCUUCGUUCAUUCAUUUAACCAACAUUUAUUGAGCACCAGUUGUAUGUCAGUUGGUAUUUUAGACAUGAAGGACAUAAUGGGGAACAAGAUGAGCAUGGUCACUGGGCUUCUGGAGCCCACAUUCUAAUGAAGGGGAUAGACAUUAAAAAAAAAUUCAAUAAAUUCAGAGAACGAUAAAUACUUCAGAGGACAUGAAACUGCAUGAAGUAAUGGAGCGUGACCUGGGUGGGGGCCUGGGCAGGGUAUUAGGGGAAUCAGGGAAGGCCUUUCUGGAAGUGGCCUUUGUGUUGAGAUGUGAGUGAUCAGAAAGUAUCAGCUAUGCCAAGAUUUGGGGACACAGCAUUCUGAGCAAAGGAAAGAGCAGGUGCAACCAUCCUGAGGUGAGAAUGGGCUCGGAGAAUUUUGUUCCUUUUCCUUCUUCCAUUUUCCUCUUCUCUUCGUCGAGAUUCUACUUUCAGGAGGAUUAGGGAAAUUUAAUUUUCUUUUUUUAAAAUCGAGUUUUCCAGUUGAAUGGAUGAAACAAAUGCUGGAAUAUCCACACAAUGGAAUACUACUCAGCCAUAAAAAAGGAAUGAACUGCUGAUACUUACAAUGAUGUGGAUGAAUCUCAAAAGUAUUGUGCUGAGAGAAAGAAGCCAGAACCAAAAGAGAUCAUUCAGUAUCAUUCCAUUUACAUAAAAUUCUAGAAAAUGCAAACCAACCUAGAGAAAGAAAUCAGUGGUUUAGUGGUUGCCUGGGGACAGAGGAGGAGGGAAAGAGAGACUGUUAAGGGACACAAAGGAACUUUUAGGGUUAAUAGAGACGUAUUACCUAGAUUAUAGUGGUGAUUUCAGUCAUAUACAUAUUUCAAAACUGAGCUUGUACACUUUAUGUAUGUGCAGUUCAGUAUACUUCAAUCAUAUCUCUAAGUUGGAAAUUUAGGUUUAUUUUAAAAAAUAUUGGAAAUGGCUGUUAUACAUAACGAAUUUAAAGAGAAAAUUGAAAUUGCCACUGUCCUAUUGGAACCCUAAAAUUUCUCUGGGGCUUGGUCACAUUUGAUCUGGGGACAAGUAUUGGCUUGGGUGGGGAUGAGACUGCGGUUGGCGUCGUCACUUAUGUUGAAGCUGAAAAAAAUAUAAAAUUUUCCUUAUGUUUCUGAGUACUAGCGACUCUUUCUAUUUCUACCCAGACACAAAAAGUCCUUUGAAUGCCAGGUACUAACCUAGACUCGGAAUCGAGGCCCUGUGGGUGGCAAGAGAGAAGGUCACAGCCCCCAGUGGCAGGUGCAUCCAGAUGGGCCUCAGGGUCUAAGGCUGGACCAACACUGCUCAGAACCGCCAAAGUGACUUACGAUUUACUGACUGGGUGACUAUGUUGAAAUGCUGUAGACCACUUAUCAUGAAGGACCAUCUUUGGUGAAGGACCAGUUUUCUUUCCCCCAAUCUGUCAUGGACCAAUACUUUGGUAGAAUACAAUAGAAUAUAUUACUAGAAAAAAAUGGAAUAGAAAACAGUCGCAUAUAAAAUAUAAGCCCAAAAUUUAUUACAGAUUCACCAAACAUAAAAUUACCCUGGCAAACUGCCACAGUGGCUUCUAGAUGUUUACUCUCAAUUUCUCUAGUUUCGGUGUUGCAGAAUGACAACAAGCUGUUCACGGAUGGCACGGGUCCAUGGACCACAGUUUGAGUAGCCCUGGAGUAGUCCAGAACCUCACAGCCAGUGUGGUCACAGUGGGUAGUGGUGUGUGAGGUAUUGGUUCCCCCUAGUGCUCAGGGCAGCUGGGUGGGACCUGGGGCAGCCAGAGCCCCCCUGGGCCAGUUGCCUGCGGUCAUAGGGAGCUGCCUGCUUUUAUCACACUGAGUCACACAGACGUUACAACUGUCUGUGGAAAAGGUUAGGGAGCACCAUAGACUGGUGGUCCUCACACUUUGGUGAGCAUAACAAUUGGGGGAGGGGUUUACUAAAAAUGCAUACUUCCGAACCACAGCUCCAAAGAUUCUAACUCAUUAUCUGUGGAGUGAGAGCUAGGAGUCUGCACUUUUAUCAAUACCCUAGUUACACCAUAGUUGACUGAUGUGUGUGUUCCAAGGAGCUCACUUUGAGAAGCACUCAUGCAGACAUAGUGGGCAUGGGCAGUGCUGGGGAUUUCUCUAUCAGUGUGCACUUACUUCUCUCUACAAGCUGAGUUUAAGACUAGAAAUUAAACAGAGAUGCUGCCAUCAGGGUUCCUGGCUUCAGCAAGAGACACUGUUUAAUUUCAACAGAGAAAUAACCUAUUAAGGGACUUGAGGAGCUCACAGAGUCCUUAGGAGGUGGAGAGAAUCAGGCUCAGCCUGUCUAGAUUCAGUCUCCAGAAUAGCUCCUGAGGAGACAUCAUUAUUGCCACUGGAAACAGUCCCACUGCUGACCCCACAGAAGCUGGGUGUCACAGCAUCUGGGCAUACUGUGGCUCGACUCCUGAGAUGUCCUCAGCAGACUGGAUUCUUUACAGGCCCUGGCUCCUGAGUCAGAUCUUCAGUGAGGGCAUUUGGUGGCAGCUUCAUAGCUGCAAGGGAGGCUGGGAAAAUGGAUGUCUGGCAUUUUCAACUUCUGUCUUAGAGGUGAUCUAAGGCCCCUGAGCUGGAUGAACCAGAAGAAUGUCAGGUGUCCCUGCAGACACUCACAGCUCCCAUCUGAGACUUGCACAGCCAUCUUCUUUUCUGGAGCAUCACAGAAGGCCCACAGAACAUGUGUUGAAGAAGGCCCUGAACUUGCUGUCAGCGUCUAGGGCAAUGCCCGUCUGCUGAGCUCCAUCCUCUGCAUUUGAAUGAGGCCCUGCCUCCUCUGUGGCCCCAGCAGCUCAAUCAGAGGUGUGGGAGAAUCCCUAAGGAGACUCAUCAGGUGCCAUCCACCCUCAGCAGCCCCCUGGAAGGGUCUCAGUACAAAGGGAGGGAGAAGGUAGCUGGUCUUUGUGGCACACUUGCCAGGCCUCCAUCUUCAGGCUGAGCACAGGAUGCACCAUCAGCUCCACGAAUCCCCCAGGAACUCUGUGAAGCGGUUUCUAAUUUUCCCAUUUUACAGAUGAGAAAACUGAGGCUCUUGAGUCAUUUCGCUGGGAUCAGAGCUUUGGAGCUGCUGCAUGCCUAUGCAGGUCUCGUGACAUCUUUAUGGGAAAACUAAACUAAACUAAACUAAAUGGAACUAAAUGGCAACAAAAAGGGUUCCACGUUUUAGGGAGCCCAGCUGAGGCGGGGUCUUGGGGGAGAGCUGUGGAGUCCACAGGAUGAUGUAACCUGUACCUUCAUUUGACUUAAGGUGAUAGGAAGAUAGAGUUGGAGGGAGCAGGUUUGUUAAUCUCAGGAGCUGUGGCUGCUCUGUACCUUUUUAUACAGGUUGUCUUCAAUUGCCUUUGACUUGGAACUGAUGGACCUGAUGGAGAACUUUGAGCAAAGCUGACCCACUGCAGUGAAUUAAACUGUCUCUGGUCCUAGAGGAGUUCAUGCCUGAAGCCAGAGGUCAGUCUGAGUGACUCCCAGCUCCCAAUCCUGCCUUCAGCUGACUCAGUAGUUCAAAUGGGCAGAAACUUCUGUUUCUUCUUUUUGCCCUGAUGAUCGUAGUUGAAAAGUACUGUGGGUGUGGUAGAAAGAGUCAGGAUUUGGUGAAAGGAUGUCUGAGUUAAAACUCUUGCUAUGGUUAUUAGUAGCAGGAUUUCUCCCCAGUCUCUGAAGCUGCUGGAGUUUCAUUUUCCUAGUUUGUAAACCAAGUGACUUCAUCUGUGUAGUCACCUGUCUGGGGGGUGGUGAUGGGCCACCGGGCUGUCAGCUCCACAAGGACAGGACACAUGGUUACCAUUCAAUACACUAUCUGUUAAAUGAAUGAAUCUAGUGCACGGACGGCUGUUUCAGUGCAUCUGUGCCAUCUCAAAUGCUGACGGGUGCUCGCAGCCUCGUGCUGUUUGAUAGAGCGGUGUCUCAGACUUUCGUGCACUCAGUAAUAACCUGGGGAUCUCGCAGAAUGAAGAUUCUGAAUUGGAAGCUCAGGGUGGGGUCUGAGAUUCUGAAUUCCUAACAAGUUCCCGGGUGAUGCUAUUGCUGCUGGUCAUGGACCACUCUGUGUAGUGAGGGUGUAAAUAAGUGGCCAGCAAAAAAACUCCUGUACAAGAUGGGAGUGGGGCCAGGUAGGGGGUUACUUAGGCCAGUGAUCUUCCAACAGGAGCAUGUCUCAGUUCUCCAGCUCAUCCUAUGUCCAGAAACGUCCCCAGUCUGACAUCAUGCCUGCAAAGGAACAAAAAGCACAUGCUUUUUUCCCCCCAUGCAGCAGAGCGCGUGGCCUGGCCGUGGCAUCUCAUGUUUGCCAUAUUUGGUGAAAAUGAUGGCUCUGGCUGCCCAUUACUCUGAAUCACCAGCGCGUGGCACUAGCAUUAGUAACCACUAAUACUUGUCAGACACGGUGCGUGUUGAGCACCCAGCACAUGCUUGCCAUGGGAUAGGCACUCCAGGAAAGGUAGCUGCUGCUGCUGCUGCUGCUGCUGAUUGCUUUAUGAAAUCCUUUCACAUCUCUUCUUGGCAACUUGAUGACAUGGGUAUUACUUGUGCAAGUUCUGGUAUGUUCAUCUCCAGAUCCUGGACCUGCCAGGCUCAUUCCCACUUCUGCACCUUGGCUUGAAGCAGCGGUUUCUCCUGGGGGCGAUUUCCACCCCCGGGACCUUUGGCAGUGUCUGGAGACAUUUUUGGUUGUCAUGACUGAGGGGUGCCACUGGCACCUUAUGCGUGGAGACCAUGAUGCUGCUAAGCAUCCUCCUAUGCGUAGGACAGCUGGCCACAACAAACAAAUAGUUACAGGGCCCAAAAUGUCGAUAGUGUUGAGGUUGGGAAACGCUGGCUCAGAUGAUGCCUCUUCUAGAGAAUGCUCUUCUCAGUUCCACCUGUGAAUAUUCUCCAGGUCUCUAAACUGACUUUGGAGUAGAAAAGUCUCGUGAUAUUAUUUUCUUAACUUUUAAGGCAUAUUGCCUCUUAGUGCUGUGGGUUCAAACAAAGGCCAGUGAGAACGUCCCUGCCGUCCCCACCCCCGAGCCCUCUGCCUUUGUAGUAAGGGUGUGUGGGUUGGGGAGAUUUUGUUUUCCCAUAUGAUAUAUGCAGGGAGGAAGGGAGAAAAGGGCCCCGGUGGGUAUGUGCCUCUGUCUUCUAUUUCAG
RNAcentral lists this long non-coding RNA (9238 nucleotides) under Equus caballus (horse). RNAcentral's name for it is "lncRNA (ENSECAG00000047432.1)". The record is from RNAcentral. Lineage: Eukaryota; Metazoa; Chordata; Mammalia; Perissodactyla; Equidae.